Molecule: ribosomal RNA, 116 nt
Filed under: Pectobacterium carotovorum subsp. carotovorum
Lineage: Bacteria; Pseudomonadati; Pseudomonadota; Gammaproteobacteria; Enterobacterales; Pectobacteriaceae
Source: RNAcentral
CCUGGCGGCGAUAGCGCGGUGGUCCCACCUGACCCCAUGCCGAACUCAGAAGUGAAACGCCGUAGCGCCGAUGGUAGUGUGGGGCUUCCCCAUGUUAGAGUAGGGAACUGCCAGGC